This 1384-nucleotide long non-coding RNA is filed under the name Gossypium barbadense (sea-island cotton). Its description in RNAcentral is "long non-coding RNA (GBAR_LNC020907)". Lineage: Eukaryota; Viridiplantae; Streptophyta; Magnoliopsida; Malvales; Malvaceae. The record is from RNAcentral.
AAAAAAACAAUUAAAUGAAUCAUCAGUUAAAAGAAAAACAUGAAAAAGAACCCUCAAUCAUGGGAUUCCUACCGACAGUUACUUAACAAAAUCAUUAACAAUACUAAAUAUAGAGAAACCAAAACAAGAAAUGGAGUCUUCAAAAAUCAAAUCCUCACAACCCUUCAAAGAAAACCAACAGUUCUAUGGAGGUUCAUGAAGACAACAGUCUUCUGCAGCCAUUGCUUCUACCAACGUCAGAGCUUCUUCAACCCAGUAACCAUCCUCACCUCGACUUAAUCCCAUUUUGCGCCAUUGCAUGCGUUGUUUUGUUACCAGAUUGGCCAAUGAAGUGGAAGGCGCAGGCAUGAAACUCCUUUGCUAUCUCCUUUGCAGACUAGUUAAGAGCACUUAUAUCCGAAAAAUCCUAUUCAUGGUUGUUAAUCUUCCUGAUAACAUAUCUUAAGUCUCCCUUGACUGUUAUUGACAGAAAACCUAACUCUUUAGGAAAUCGGAACUCGUGUAUCACCGUAACUACUUCUGCUACAAAUACCGAAAGAACAAGGUAAGUGAUUUUGCAACAAGCUCUCAAAAUUUCCCCAUUUUCAUCUCGAAUCACAACCCCUGCUGCAGCUUUCUUUUGAUUUAAUCUAAACCCUGCAUCAACGUUUAUUUUGACCACCCCUGCAGGUGGCAGAGACCACCGAACUUGAACGUCGGAGACUACACCAUUAUUCGUAUGGAUCAUAGAGACCAACUCCACACAAUAGUUGCAAAUGAAGCUAACAAUCUCACGUACACUCUGGUUUGUUCCCUCAUGCACCAUACGAUUCCGGGCAAACCAUAUAGCCCACAUCGUAACACAAAUUUCAUUAUGUUUUGUUGUAUGAUGUAUCUUUAGUAUCCAUGAAAGCCACUCAUGGAAAUCCAUUUGAGCACUAACCACAUGCAAAGGGUAACCCAACAUUACCCACACAUCUUUUGCUUUAGCACAAAAUCUUAGCACAUGGUUCACUGUCUCAUAAUCAACAUUACACCUCGGAUAGCUUAGGUUAUUUGCAACUCUUCUAUUGUAUAAGCAUGAUCUAGUGGCUACAGAACCAUGAACAAAUUUCCACAAAGCUAUUUUGAUUUUCGGGGGACAUCUAGUUGCCCGAAUUUGCUUGAAAACAUCAUGCCUAGAUGAUAAAGGAGUCAGCUGUUGGAAUAAUAAACGAUAACCACUACGAACAGAGUAGAUACCGGAGUGUUCACCGCGCCACACGAGACAAUCCCCUUAAUGAAUAGACGGUAAAGGAAUACCCUGAAUGAGGAUUGCGUCAGCAACUACAAAAAGCAAGUCAAUCAAAUCCCGAUUCCAACCCAUUCCAUUUGGCAAAAUAAGCUCAGACACCCUUUCAAUAUU